Molecule: ribosomal RNA, 425 nt
Filed under: uncultured bacterium
Lineage: Bacteria
Description: partial 16S ribosomal RNA
Rfam family: Bacterial small subunit ribosomal RNA
Source: RNAcentral
GUGGGGAAUAUUGGACAAUGGGCGAAAGCCUGAUCCAGCAAUGCCGCGUGAGUGAUGAAGGCCUUAGGGUUGUAAAGCUCUUUUACCCGGGAUGAUAAUGACAGUACCGGGAGAAUAAGCUCCGGCUAACUUCGUGCCAGCAGCCGCGGUAAUACGAGGGGAGCUAGCGUUGUUCGGAAUUACUGGGCGUAAAGCGCGCGUAGGCGGUUUUUUAAGUCAGAGGUGAAAGCACGGGGCUCAACCCCGGAAUAGCCUUUGAAACUGGAAAACUAGAAUCUUGGAGAGGUCAGUGGAAUUCCGAGUGUAGAGGUGAAAUUCGUAGAUAUUCGGAAGAACACCAGUGGCGAAGGCGACUGACUGGACAAGUAUUGACGCUGAGGUGCGAAAGCGUGGGGAGCAAACAGGAUUAGAAACCCCUGUAGUCC